This 3695-nucleotide long non-coding RNA is filed under the name Oncorhynchus mykiss (rainbow trout). Its description in RNAcentral is "lncRNA (ENSOMYG00000052480.1)". The record is from RNAcentral. Lineage: Eukaryota; Metazoa; Chordata; Actinopteri; Salmoniformes; Salmonidae.
ACUCUCUUCUACCUCUUUCCUUUAGCUGACAGAGACAGGCCGAGGAGAGAGGAGAGAGAACCAGCCAGAGAGGCAGCCCCCAGGCCAAGCACCAGAUCUAGUCCCACUCAGAGGCGGAAAAAGCCAGCCAGAAAUAGCCCUACCCAAAGUCGAAGAGAGACGCGCAGACGCAGUCCCAGUCCCACUCCAAGUCGUAGAGAGCCAGCCAGUCCCAGUCCCACUCCAAGUCGUAGAGAGCCAGCCAGUCCCAGUCCCACUCCAAGUCGUAGAGAGCCAGCCAGUCCCAGUCCCACUCCAAGUCGUAGAGAGCCAGCCAGACCCAGCCCUACGCCCAGCCGGAGAGAGACACCCAGACCAGAACCCACCACCACCCCUACCCCCGGUGCUGUUACCCAAGCCACCCCAGCCUCAGGAGCUUUCAGCCGGAUGGGAUCCAUAGCAAGUCUCUUCCGCUCCCAUCGACGUGCCACACCGGCACCUGGGCCAGUCAACAACAACACUGGUGGAGUUGACCCAUGGGGGAUGGGUGCACUGACUGAAUCCCAACCGGAAGUGAAUACCAGCCUUUUCCUGGAUCCGCCGACCCCUGACCCCAUCAUGAAUCAGAUGCCAGCUUUCCCUGCAUUGAGGGAGAUAGACAUCUCCAGCAUCCAGGCCCCAGAGCCCAGGAGCAGAGAGGAGUUCCUGCAGUGUGAGUAUAGAACAGCUAAACAUCUACACAGACACAGCCUGUUCCAGUUAGCUCCCUACCGUGUGGCCUUGGCCCUCACCCUUCCAUGUUCGCAGACAUGAAGGGAAAGGUAUGAGCAUUGUAGCAUCCACCAUAUUGAUUACAACUUUCAGAUCUGAAAACUUCAGAAGGUUGGGGCCAAGGGGAAGGAGUACUCACAACAGCUGACAACCAAAUCUGCAAAGUCCUUAUCCCCACAACUUAACUAUUCAUCCAUCCAUCCCUCCACUCUUCCCUCCCCCAGAUGCCUGUACCUUGACCCUAGACACGAGGACAGCCCACCGGCGUCUGACCCUGUCGGAGAGCAACACCAAGGCCACCCUACAGGGGGCACGGCAACCCUAUCCAGACUGCCCCCAACGCUUCGACGGCUGGACCCAGGUGCUGUGCCAGGCCCCUCUUUCCGCCCAGCGAUGUUAUUGGGAGGUGGAUUGGCGGGGGAGGGGGUCAUCAAUGGGUGUGGCUUAUGGAGCCCUGAGCAGGAAGGGGGCGGACGCCAGGGCGGGGUUUGGCUACAACGCCCAAUCAUGGAGCCUGGAGCUGUCGGAUACGUGUUGCACGGCAAUGCAUGACAAUGAGAAGAGGGACAUCCCGGUGACGUACUCGCCGCGUCUGGGGUUGUUCCUGGACCUCAACGCGGGCACCCUGGCGUUCUAUAGCGUGGCGGAGAGCAUGGCGCACCUGCACACGUUCCGUGCCAACUUUACACAGCCACUGUAUGCGGCCUUCGGGGUGGGAAGUGGGGUUGGUGUUGGACUGGACUUCGCUCUGGGUCAGUUCAGCCAGACAUCCGACAGCAUCAAGAUCUGCCCCAUGUGACGAGACCUACGACCUCUGUAUAGAUCUGCCCCAUGUGAGGAGACCUACGACCUCUGUAUAGAUCUGCCCCGUGUGAGGAGACCUAUGACCUCUGUAUAGAUCUGCCCCAUGUGAUGAGACCUACGACCUCUGUAUAGAUCUGCCCCAUGUGAUGAGACCUACGACCUCUGUAUAGAUCUGCCCCAUGUGAUGAGACCUACGACCUCUGUAUAGAUCUGCCCUGUGUGACGUGACCAAUGACCUCUGUAUAGAUCUGCCCCAUGUGAGACCUACGACAUCUGUAUAGAUCUGCCCCAUGUGACAUGACCUACGUAAUGUGACCUACGACCUCUGAUCCCCAUCUGCUAUCACCGCUUUAUAUGACAUAAUUUAACGAGAAAUAGUUUGUUUCCUAAACAUUUACAGAACAGCCCAAGUGCUGCACUUCUGACAAACAAAUUACAUACAAACACUAAUAGAAGACUGAACUGACAAAUGGUGUCACACACACACACACACCACACACACACCACACACACACCACACACACACACACACCACACACACACAUUAUAAGACAAUAAAUAUAAGACAACCAAAUCAUUUCUCAUUUCCUUUAUUAAAGCAAAAGCACCAAAAAGGUCAUCUUGGGUAUUUUAUGAAGCAUGGAGGAGAGGCGCCAGGUCCAAAACCAAUAAUGGACACUUCCAACUACACAGAGCCCAUAACAACCUCCACCAUCACCCAUCAGCUACAUUCAAUAGAGCCAACGGUGUGAAUCAUAGAACUAGAUGCAAUAGAACGAACAGCCUCUCCUCCUAUACCUCCCCCAGAGCAGAAAGCCUAGUAUAAAACUGAUGCUCUUUCCUCGUGGUUACAUAGGUAAUAGGUAUUACAACACACACAAGCCAACACAAAGCAUUUCACUGUAUUUAAAAAUGAGUUUUGGUUUGCACUGAUAUACAGUUUUAAAAACAUGACAGCUUGGAUUCCCUUUUCAAUGGUUCAUCACACAAUGGAGGCACAACAAAACAUCUAAAAUAAAUGUCUACAUGAAAUGCUAAAUAACUUAUUACCUUUGAUAAUGAUACAGUAUUUGAUGCUAUAACCUAGUCUAAAUAUCAAUAUUUGUCACUAAUAAUAUUUCCUAACUAGUGAUCUCUGUAAAUCAGGUUAAAAAGUGCAGUACAUGAGUGGGACAGGUCAUAUGGACGGACGGUAAGGAAAUUGGCAUAGCAGGGACGUCUGAGAGUCACACCAGGGGUCAAGUAUGGGUCAAAGGGCACCGGGUCAAAGGGUCACACACUAGUCUAGCUAGCUUGAAAUACAGAACCUGUCUUGCUAGCAUUCCAGGUCAUGUACUCUGUGUCAUGUGAACACAGACAGGUACCCAGGCUCUAGUCUAGGCCCUCCCCACUACACACUCCAGUAGACCUGAAAGGAAUAACAAUAGUGGAUUUGUUUGACCUUGACCUCUGAUAGGCUAGCUGGAAUUUCCCCAGAAUGCUUAGGCUCUGCCGCUACACCCAUCAAGUCCUUUCAGAUUUAAAAUAAACAGCAUUACAGUGGAAGGUACUAGAGGCCGUUAGUCUCAUAGCUGUUCAAUAUCACACAACACCAUGCUGCCCUCUACUGGCCGCUGAGUGAAUAGAGUACCUUUAAAGACCAUAACCACAGUAAUAGUGAACCAUACAUGAGAUGAGACUCAGAGCUAACCUGCAUCAAAACAUAGUACACCCACUACUACCUAGGAUGCUGAUGGUUCCCCGUUUGGGACCAAACCUCUUGUACCAGGAGCAUGUUGAGGAGGUAAACGUUGUGGAACGUUAGAACUUGUUCUGCAUAUAUUUCUACUGGAACAUUCCACAAUGGUGUGCCCUAAUGAACGCAGACCUGAGCACGCCAUGGGCCUGAGAUAAGCGACUACCAUGUUCUCCGUUUCCAGUCAAUAACCUUGUAACCUUCCAUCCCAAAUCGACCUCUAAGCCCUAUGCACUUGUGGGGAGUCUGUCAGGAUUUGACAGGUGUAAGCAAUUUGGUAAUACAUCUACCGUGCCCUCUGAUAGGCUAGGUGGAAGUUUCACCAUAUUGGUUAUACCAAUCAAAUCCUCUCAGAUCUCCACAAGCUGAGGAAUAGUCCAUCCCAGCUGCAUCCUAGCCUGGUUCC